Molecule: ribosomal RNA, 497 nt
Filed under: uncultured bacterium
Lineage: Bacteria
Description: partial 16S ribosomal RNA
Rfam family: Bacterial small subunit ribosomal RNA
Source: RNAcentral
GACGAACGCUGGCGGCGUGCCUAAUACAUGCAAGUUGAGCGCUGAAGGUUGGUACUUGUACCAACUGGAUGAGCAGCGAACGGGUGAGUAACGCGUGGGGAAUCUGCCUUUGAGCGGGGGACAACAUUUGGAAACGAAUGCUAAUACCGCAUAAAAACUUUAAACACAAGUUUUAAGUUUGAAAGAUGCAAUUGCAUCACUCAAAGAUGAUCCCGCGUUGUAUUAGCUAGUUGGUGAGGUAAAGGCUCACCAAGGCGAUGAUACAUAGCCGACCUGAGAGGGUGAUCGGCCACAUUGGGACUGAGACACGGCCCAAACGCCUACGGGAGGCAGCAGUAGGGAAUCUUCGGCAAGGGACGAAAGUCUGACCGAGCAACGCCGCGUGAGUGAAGAAGGUUGUCGGAUCGUAAAACUCGGUUGGUAGAGAAGAACGUUGGUGAGAGUGGAAAGCUCAUCAAGUGACGGUAACUACCCAGAAAGGGACGGCUAACUACGUG